GGUGCAGUAGCUCGGUGGUAGAGCUCCCGUCUCUUAUGCGGGAAGACCAGGGUUCGAUUCCCGGCUACUUCC
Toxocara canis (dog roundworm) is the source of this 72-nucleotide transfer RNA. It matches the Rfam family "tRNA". Rfam says of the family: Transfer RNA (tRNA) molecules are approximately 80 nucleotides in length. Their secondary structure includes four short double-helical elements and three loops (D, anti-codon, and T loops). NCBI's taxonomy places the organism in Eukaryota, Metazoa, Nematoda, Chromadorea, Rhabditida, Toxocaridae. The record is from Rfam.